UACGUAGGCAGCGAGCGUUGUUCGGAGUUACUGGGCGUAAAGGGUGUGUAGGCGGUUCUUUAAGUUUGGUGUGAAAUCUCCCGGCUCAACCGGGAGGGUGCGCCGAAUACUGAGGGACUAGAGUAUGGGAUGGGAAAGUGGAAUUCCUGGUGUAGCGGUGAAAUGCGUAGAUAUCAGGAGGAACACCUGUGGUGUAAGACGGCUUUCUGGACCAUAACUGACGCUGAGACACGAAAGCGUGGGUAGCAAACAGG
Molecule: ribosomal RNA, 254 nt
Filed under: uncultured bacterium
Lineage: Bacteria
Description: partial 16S ribosomal RNA
Rfam family: Bacterial small subunit ribosomal RNA
Source: RNAcentral